ACUGAACGCUGGCGGCAUGCCUUACACAUGCAAGUCGAACGGCAGCACGGGGCAACCUGGUGGCGAGUGGCGAACGGGUGAGUAAUGCAUCGGAACGUGCCAUUGAGUGGGGGAUAACGUAGCGAAAGUUGCGCUAAUACCGCAUAUUCUGUGAGCAGGAAAGCAGGGACCGCAAGGCCUUGCGCUCUUUGAGCGGCCGAUGUCAGAUUAGCUAGUUGGUGAGGUAACGGCUUACCAAGGCGACGAUCUGUAGCGGGUCUGAGAGGAUGAUCCGCCACACUGGAACUGAGACACGGUCCAGACUCCUACGGGAGGCAGCAGUGGGGAAUUUUGGACAAUGGGCGCCGAAGCCUCGAUCCAGCCAUG
This 366-nucleotide ribosomal RNA is filed under the name uncultured bacterium. Its description in RNAcentral is "bacterial SSU rRNA". It matches the Rfam family "Bacterial small subunit ribosomal RNA", at positions 30 to 396 of the family's 1533-position model. The record is from RNAcentral.